GGCGGACGGGUGAGUAACACGUGGGCAACCUGCCUGUAAGACUGGGAUAACUUCGGGAAACCGGAGCUAAUACCGGAUAAUCCUUUUCUACUCAUGUAGAAAAGCUGAAAGACGGUUUCGGCUGUCACUUACAGAUGGGCCCGCGGCGCAUUAGCUAGUUGGUGAGGUAACGGCUCACCAAGGCAACGAUGCGUAGCCGACCUGAGAGGGUGAUCGGCCACACUGGGACUGAGACACGGCCCAGACUCCUACGGGAGGCAGCAGUAGGGAAUCUUCCGCAAUGGACGAAAGUCUGACGGAGCAACGCCGCGUGAGUGAUGAAGGUUUUCGGAUCGUAAAACUCUGUUGUUAGGGAAGAACAAGUACAAGAGUAACUGCUUGUACCUUGACGGUACCUAACCAGAAAGCCACGGCUAACUACGUGCCAGCAGCCGCGGUAAUACGUAGGUGGCAAGCGUUGUCCGGAAUUAUUGGGCGUAAAGCGCGC
Molecule: ribosomal RNA, 487 nt
Filed under: uncultured Bacillus sp.
Lineage: Bacteria; Bacillati; Bacillota; Bacilli; Caryophanales; Bacillaceae
Description: bacterial SSU rRNA
Rfam family: Bacterial small subunit ribosomal RNA
Source: RNAcentral